RNAcentral lists this ribosomal RNA (460 nucleotides) under uncultured bacterium. RNAcentral's name for it is "bacterial SSU rRNA". It matches the Rfam family "Bacterial small subunit ribosomal RNA", at positions 338 to 795 of the family's 1533-position model. The record is from RNAcentral.
CCUANGGGGGGCUGCAGUAAGGAAUAUUGGUCAAUGGGCGCAAGCCUGAACCAGCCAUGCCGCGUGCAGGAUGACGGCCCUAUGGGUUGUAAACUGCUUUUGUACGGGAAAAAACCCCUUUACGUGUAAAGGGCUGAUGGUACCGUAAGAAUAAGGAUCGGCUAACUCCGUGCCAGCAGCCGCGGUAAUACGGAGGAUCCAAGCGUUAUCCGGAUUUAUUGGGUUUAAAGGGUGCGCAGGCGGAAUAAUAAGUCAGUGGUGAAAUCCUGCAGCUUAACUGCAGAACUGCCAUUGAUACUGUUAUUCUUGAGUAUAGUUGAAGUGGGCGGAAUGUGUCAUGUAGCGGUGAAAUGCUUAGAUAUGACACAGAACACCAAUUGCGAAGGCAGCUCACUAAGCUAUAACUGACGCUCAUGCACGAAAGCGUGGGGAUCAAACAGGAUUAGAUACCCUUNUAGUC